RNAcentral lists this transfer RNA (60 nucleotides) under Potamyia chinensis. RNAcentral describes it as "tRNA-Ser". The record is from RNAcentral. Lineage: Eukaryota; Metazoa; Arthropoda; Insecta; Trichoptera; Hydropsychidae.
GAAAUAUGCAAAUUUAAACUUCUAAUUUAAAAUAUAGUGAUUUAAUUCAUUAAUAUUUCA